CCUGGUCCCAGAAGCACUACAGGUGUAGCUGCUGUGUCACAUUUGCGUCAGUAGGUGGUAGAACGGAGAGAGGCUAUGUCUAUGUUCAGUUUUCUGACCUGUGAACAACUGAAUGAUUAGUAGCAUAACAGU
Molecule: small nucleolar RNA, 132 nt
Organism: Meriones unguiculatus (Mongolian gerbil)
Lineage: Eukaryota; Metazoa; Chordata; Mammalia; Rodentia; Muridae
Source: Ensembl